This 306-nucleotide ribosomal RNA is filed under the name uncultured bacterium. Its description in RNAcentral is "bacterial SSU rRNA". It matches the Rfam family "Bacterial small subunit ribosomal RNA", at positions 28 to 333 of the family's 1533-position model. The record is from RNAcentral.
GACGAACGCUGGCGGCGUGCCUAACACAUGCAAGUCGAACGGAGCAGAUCCCUUCGGGGGUUUGCUCAGUGGCGAACGGGUGAGUAACGCGUGGGUAACCUGCCUCAUACAGGGGGAUAACAGUUAGAAAUGACUGCUAAUACCGCAUAAGACCACAGGGUCGCAUGACCCGGUGGUAAAAACUCCGGUGGUAUGAGAUGGACUCGCGUCUGAUUAGCUAGUUGGUGGGGUAACGGCUCACCAAGGCGACGAUCAGUAGCCGACCUGAGAGGGUGACCGGCCACAUUGGGACUGAGACACGGCCAG